UACGGGGGAUGCAAGCGUUAUCCGGAAUCAUUGGGCGUAAAGCGCCUGUAGGUGGUUUAAUAAGUCUGUUGUUAAAGACUAGGGCUUAACCCUAGAAAAGCAAUGGAAACUACUAGACUAGAGUAUGGCAGGGGUAGAGGGAAUUUCUAGUGUAGCGGUGAAAUGCGUAGAUAUUAGAAAGAACACCGGUGGCGAAAGCGCUCUACUGGACCAUCACUGACACUCAGAGGCGAAAGCUAGGGUAGCAAAAGGGAUUAGAUACCCCUGUAGUCCUAGCCGUAAACGAUGGAUACUAGAUGUUGUGUAUCAUAUACAGUAUCGUAGCUAACGCGUUAAGUAUCCCGCCUGGGGAGUACGCUCGCAAGGGUG
This 369-nucleotide ribosomal RNA is filed under the name uncultured phototrophic eukaryote. RNAcentral's name for it is "SSU rRNA". It matches the Rfam family "Bacterial small subunit ribosomal RNA", at positions 524 to 896 of the family's 1533-position model. The record is from RNAcentral.